AAACUCUAUGCAUGCAAGUCGCUUUGGAUCAAAGCGUCUGCUAAAUGGAAUAUA
Non-coding RNA from Salmo salar (Atlantic salmon), 54 nucleotides. NCBI's taxonomy places the organism in Eukaryota, Metazoa, Chordata, Actinopteri, Salmoniformes, Salmonidae. The record is from Rfam.